RNAcentral lists this ribosomal RNA (745 nucleotides) under Microbacterium aquimaris. Its description in RNAcentral is "bacterial SSU rRNA". It matches the Rfam family "Bacterial small subunit ribosomal RNA", at positions 618 to 1360 of the family's 1533-position model. Lineage: Bacteria; Bacillati; Actinomycetota; Actinomycetes; Micrococcales; Microbacteriaceae. The record is from RNAcentral.
GGCUUGCAGUGGGUACGGGCAGACUAGAGUGCGGUAGGGGAGAUUGGAAUUCCUGGUGUAGCGGUGGAAUGCGCAGAUAUCAGGAGGAACACCGAUGGCGAAGGCAGAUCUCUGGGCCGUUACUGACGCUGAGGAGCGAAAGGGUGGGGAGCAAACAGGCUUAGAUACCCUGGUAGUCCACCCCGUAAACGUUGGGAACUAGUUGUGGGGUCCUUUCCACGGAUUCCGUGACGUAGCUAACGCAUUAAGUUCCCCGCCUGGGGAGUACGGCCGCAAGGCUAAAACUCAAAGGAAUUGACGGGGACCCGCACAAGCGGCGGAGCAUGCGGAUUAAUUCGAUGCAACGCGAAGAACCUUACCAAGGCUUGACAUACACCAGAACGGGCCAGAAAUGGUCAACUCUUUGGACACUGGUGAACAGGUGGUGCAUGGUUGUCGUCAGCUCGUGUCGUGAGAUGUUGGGUUAAGUCCCGCAACGAGCGCAACCCUCGUUCUAUGUUGCCAGCACGUUAUGGUGGGAACUCAUGGGAUACUGCCGGGGUCAACUCGGAGGAAGGUGGGGAUGACGUCAAAUCAUCAUGCCCCUUAUGUCUUGGGCUUCACGCAUGCUACAAUGGCCGGUACAAUGGGCUGCGAUACCGCGAGGUGGAGCGAAUCCCAAAAAGCCGGUCCCAGUUCGGAUUGAGGUCUGCAACUCGACCUCAUGAAGUCGGAGUCGCUAGUAAUCGCAGAUCAGCAACGCUGC